CAGGGUUUAGAGCAUGGAGGCCGUUCCUCCCAAUCACGCCUCUCCAGGUGUCUCCAUCGUUUCCCACGUGUGCGUUGAAGUCUCCCAGCAAGACUACGGAGUCCCCUACUGGAGCCCCCUGCAGGGCUCCAAAAAGGGUCUCCAAGAAGGCCGAAUACUCCGAGCCCUCCCUCUAGGCCAGGCUCCAGACGGGGGCCCCGGGCUUCCUCCGGGUAGGGUCUCUCCUCUCCUUUCCUUUCCCUUUGUAUCAUGAGGUCAUUUUUUAACCAUUCUUAGUCUGGUCCCCUCAUCUGAGACCAAUUUGCCUUGGGAGACCCUAUCAGGAGCACUAGGCUCCAGACAACACAGCUCUCAGGUUCAUAGGGACACACAAACCUCUCCACCGCGGUAAGGUGAUGGUUAUAUAAUAUAUAUUCAAGUAAUCUGCAAAGACACUGAAACAUGUUUACAUUUAAAUGAAAUGAAAAUAAUGAUGCAGAAUAAUUCCCUCCGUCAGAAAUGUGACGUUUGUUCCCAGAAGGCAGGAAGCCUGAAGAAACUGAAUAUAAACAGACUCUCAUGUUAUCAACAGACAAACAGCUGAGUCUUAUCACUUCCUGCUUCAUACACUCACACUCACACUCACACUCACACUCACUCACUCACUCACUCACUCACUCACUUACUCACUCACUUACUCACACACACACACACACACGCAGAUACUUGCUGGUACCGUCUGAGUGUUUCUUUAGUUUCUCAGGAUCUCAGGAGCUGCAGGUCUUUCCCAGAAUGCAGUUCUUCCUCUUCCUCGUCUUCCUCGGGCCCCUUGUUGCCACGGUUACAGCGGUGGCCGGUUGCAAAGGCGGCCGGGACAAAGACCACCGGCCGCAGGAGAACUGCACGGCGGCCGGCUUCAGUGACGUACCGCCGGGACUCGAACCCACAACCAAGGUUCUGUUGUUCCCCAACAACCUGUUCUCCAGCCUGUCCUGGUCCUCCUUCCAGGUCUUCAUGCAGAUCUAUGAGAUCGACCUCACAGGCAACAAGGUUUCUGAACACAGUCAUCAAAACUCAGAAAAUAUGUUUCUCUCAUAUUGUUUUUGAACAUAAUUAGAUUCAAAAGGUUUCAUGACUUCCGGUGUCUCCAGGUUCCACAGGUGACCUCCAGCGCUGCUCCGAUGCUGACCAGCCUCAGCGUUCUCCGGCUGGGCUCGAACCACCUGACGUCCCUCCCUGACGGAUCCUUCUCCGCCUGUCCCGCUCUGACUGAACUCUACCUGGACAACAACGCCCUGGUCUCUCUGAGCAACUUCAGCUUCUCUGGACUCAGCAAGCUGGAGGUCAGUCAGUGUGUCAGCAGUGGGACUGUAGCGUGUUAGGAAGGAAAGAUCCUAGCAUAGCAUGUUUGGAAGUUAGGAUGUUGUAGUUCGUUAGG
This 1417-nucleotide long non-coding RNA is filed under the name Cottoperca gobio. RNAcentral's name for it is "lncRNA (ENSCGOG00000015429.1)". The record is from RNAcentral. Lineage: Eukaryota; Metazoa; Chordata; Actinopteri; Perciformes; Bovichtidae.